Molecule: long non-coding RNA, 1197 nt
Filed under: Malus domestica (apple)
Lineage: Eukaryota; Viridiplantae; Streptophyta; Magnoliopsida; Rosales; Rosaceae
Description: long non-coding RNA (MDOM_LNC004874)
Source: RNAcentral
CAAGUUUUUGGGGAUUUUCGGCCAAAUCCAAAGGGUGAUUUUUUGGGUUCUUGUUUGACUUGUUAAAAGUGUUUUAAAGUGACUUUUGGAACCCCUAAGUACCCUAGGAUGUUAGCCCCAUUUUGAAUGGUGAAAAUUUGUGUUUUAUUGCUUGAAAACAUUCAUGGAACUCUUAUGGGUUUUCAUGGAUGUUCUUCAUUGUUCUUGAUGUUCUUGCCAAGAACAAAAAGGUUUGAUGUUUUGAUUCAAAGUUUUGGAUUAUUUCAUAAAGUCUUUGUUUUAUGAUUUAUCUUAUAUUUAAAUGUGUUAGAUAUUUAUUUAAAAGGUGUAAGAAAUAUUGGUGGGUGUGAAAGGAUUAAUUUCCUUUCACACACACCACUUGCAUGAAUUCAUGUCACAAAUAUCUUGCAAGGCUUUAUGACUUUGUUGAAAAAUUUCCAAAUUUUUGUGGACUUAUCUCCACUCCUUUUUUCUCCCUAAAACUGGCCACCCUAUUAAAAUAGGGUAUUUUUGGGGCUUUUAUGCAAUUACAUAAAGUUUUGAUACUUUUGUGUAUUUGUAUUUUGACCCGAAAGUUUACGUUUUGACGUUAAGGCCUAAAAACGCUAAAGGACAAAUUGUUUUGCUCCUUUAAUGAAGUUUUGAAUUUAUUGAAAUUUUUGGGUUCUAGUUGUAAUUACAUGAAGUAGUGGACUUUUGUGUUUUUACAAAGUGACCCCAAAAGUUUGUGUUUUCGCAAUAUAGCCCAAAAAGUUGUGGUUAUUGCAUGAUGGCCCAAAUUAGGUAGAGAACAAAAUUGUUUUGUUUCUUUAAAUGAGAAUUGGAUUUUCAUUUUAUUUAGCUCCAUUUAAAUCAAUUUUAUGGAUACAAAAACCAAAUGAAAAUGUUGCAUUCAAGUUUAAUUGGUUAAAGCGUUAAUUGAUUAAAGAAAGGGUGAUUAUGAACCUAAGCCUAAUAUAAUUGAGCUAUGUGAAAGGCCGUUUCAAAUUUGUUUGAACCAUGGGAAUGUGUAGAUUAGAUUUUGGUUGUAAUUUAAUUUGAUCAAAUGUUGUAAAAGAGCAUAAGCUCUUCUUUACUUUAAAGUAAUUUGUUUUAUUCAAAUGUUGUAAUGAGCAUAAGCUCAUCUUUACUUUGAAGUACUUCUUUCUUGCUUUAUAUGAUAUGCAUGAAAAUGAAGUAGUUGGGUCCAACGCCCCU